GAGUAAUUUAAUUCGAAUUCCCCAAUACAGUGAGUCGGCGAGUGUUUGAACGCACAAUGCGCCAGCCAGUAUUUUGGCGGGCAUCCAUGUCCGAGCGUCAUUUCACCCAUCCAGCCCCUGGCUUGUGUUGGGGACCUGCGGCUGUCCCCAGGCCCUAAAAACCAGUGGGGGGCUCGCUGUCCUCCCGUAGGUAGUAGUAUUUUCUCGCUAAGGGCGGGAAGCGGGGUCCCCCCGCUAAACAGCCCUUAUAACCCAAGGUUGACCUCGGAUCAGGUAGGAAUACCCGCUGAACUUAAGCAUAUCAAUAGCGAGAAGCUACG
Molecule: ribosomal RNA, 320 nt
Filed under: uncultured Ascomycota
Lineage: Eukaryota; Fungi; Ascomycota
Description: eukaryotic LSU rRNA
Source: RNAcentral